ACGGCGAGUGAAGCGGCAACAGCUCAAAUUUGAAAUCUGGCGCAAGCCCGAGUUGUAAUUUGUAGAGGAUGUUUCUGGCGACGUGCCUUCCGAGUUCCCUGGAACGGGACGCCAUAGAGGGUGAGAGCCCCGUACGGUUGGAUGCCUAGCCUCUGUGAAACUCCUUCGACGAGUCGAGUAGUUUGGGAAUGCUGCUCUAAAUGGGAGGUAUACGUCUUCUAAAGCUAAAUACCGGCCAGAGACCGAUAGCGCACAAGUAGAGUGAUCGAAAGAUGAAAAGCACUUUGAAAAGAGGGUUAAAAAGUACGUGAAAUUGUUGAAAGGGAAGCGUUCAUGACCAGACUUGGGCAGGUUGAUCAUCCGUGGUUCUCCGCGGUGCACUCUGCCUGCCCAGGCCAGCAUCAGUUCGCCCCGGGGGAUAAAGGCUUUGGGAAUGUGGCUCCCUCGGGAGUGUUAUAGCCCACUGUGUAAUACCCUGGGGUGGACUGAGGUUCGCGCUCUGCAAGGAUGCUGGCGUAAUGGUCAUCAACGACCCGUCUUGAAACACGGACCAAGGAGUCGUCUUCGUAUGCGAGUGUUCGGGUGUCAAACCCCUACGCGUAAUGAAAGUGAACGUAGGAGAGAGCUUCGGCGCAUCUCCGACCGAUCCUGAUGUUCUCGGAUGGAUUUGAGUAAGAGCAUACGGGGCCGGACCCGAAAGAAGGUGAACUAUGCCUGUAUAGGGUGAAGCCAGAGGAAACUCUGGUGGAGGCUCGCAGCGGUUCUGACGUGCAAAUCGAUCGUCAAAUAUGGGCAUGGGGGCGAAAGACUAAUCGAACCUUCUAGUAGCUGGUUUCCGCCGAAGUUUCCCUCAGGAUAGCAGUAUUGAACUCAGUUUUAUGAGGUAAAGCGAAUGAUUAGGGACCCGGGGGCUAUAUAUUGCCUUCAUCCAUUCUCAAACUUUAAAUAUGUAAGAAGCUCUUGUUGCUUAAUUGAACGUGAGCAUUCGAAUGUAUCAAUACUAGUGGGCCAUUUUUGGUAAGCAGAACUGGCGAUGCGGGAUGAACCGAACGCGAGGUUAAGGUGCCAGAGUAGACGCUCAUCAGACACCACAAAAGGUGUUAGUACAUCCAGACAGUUGGACGGUGGCCAUGGAAGUCGGAAUCCGCUAAGGACUGUGUAACAACUCACCAACCGAAUGUACUAGCCCUGAAAAUGGAUGGCGCUCAAGCGUCUCACCCAUACCUCGCCCUCAGGGUAGAAACGAUGCCCUGAGGAGUAGGCGGACGUG
Molecule: ribosomal RNA, 1270 nt
Filed under: Clonostachys rosea
Lineage: Eukaryota; Fungi; Ascomycota; Sordariomycetes; Hypocreales; Bionectriaceae
Description: eukaryotic LSU rRNA
Rfam family: Eukaryotic large subunit ribosomal RNA
Source: RNAcentral